Oncorhynchus keta (chum salmon) is the source of this 764-nucleotide long non-coding RNA. RefSeq lists it as uncharacterized. The transcript is spliced from 5 exons. NCBI's taxonomy places the organism in Eukaryota, Metazoa, Chordata, Actinopteri, Salmoniformes, Salmonidae. The record is from RefSeq and is a predicted model, not a curated record.
AACUGUUCACUCGUCGCUCCGAUGAAUAGCACCAUGUUUUCCUUAUGGCCAGAGAACAACAAAGUGGCAGAGAAAGACGGGACAUACAUUUCUGAGCAGCACAUUUAAAGUUCAGGUAGCUCCAUUGAUUUCUUAUUGGGUAAGGUGAUGCGUGCACAUUUAAAGUUCAGGUAGCUCCAUUGAUUUCUUAUUGGGUAAGGUGAUGCGUGCACAUUUAAAGUUCAGGUAGCUCCAUUGAUUUCUUAUUGGGUAAGGUGAUGCGUGCACAUUUAAAGUUCAGGUAGCUCCAUUGAUUUCUUAUUGGGUAAGGUGAUGCGUGCACAUUUAAAGUUCAGGUAGCUCCAUUGAUUUCUUAUUGGGUAAGGAGAUGCAUGCACAUUUAAAGUUCAGGUAGCUCCAUUGAUUUCUUAUUGGGUAAGGUGAUGCGUGCACAUUUAAAGUUCAGGUAGCUCCAUUGAUUUCUUAUUGGGUAAGGUGAUGCGUGCACAUUUAAAGUUCAGGUAGCUCCAUUGAUUUCUUAUUGGGUAAGGUGAUGCGUGCACAUUUAAAGUUCAGGUAGCUCCAUUGAUUUCUUAUUGGGUAAGGUGAUGCAUGUACAUUUAAAGUUCAGGUAGCUCCAUUGAUUUCUUAUUGGGUAAGGAGAUGCAUGUACAUUUAUGUGGAUUUUAAAAUGGAAUGGUAUUAACAUUCUCCCAUCCUAUUCCUAGAAUAUACCUAUAUAUCAAAUGGCAAGUGCACUGCCUUCCUAGUACAACAGGUCCAGG